ACCAGUGGCGACAGCACGUUGAAUACACCAGUUCCUCACGGACCACUGAAGCUAAGCAACGUUGCGCAUGGUUAGUACCUGGAUGGUGACCAUCAGGGGAAUCGCGAGCUUCUGGGU
This 117-nucleotide ribosomal RNA is filed under the name Diaphorina citri (Asian citrus psyllid). The record is from RNAcentral. Lineage: Eukaryota; Metazoa; Arthropoda; Insecta; Hemiptera; Psyllidae.